This 254-nucleotide ribosomal RNA is filed under the name uncultured bacterium. RNAcentral's name for it is "partial 16S ribosomal RNA". It matches the Rfam family "Bacterial small subunit ribosomal RNA", at positions 524 to 776 of the family's 1533-position model. The record is from RNAcentral.
UACGUAGGGGGCAAGCGUUGUCCGGAAUUAUUGGGCGUAAAGAGCUCGUAGGCGGUGUGUCGCGUCGGCCGUGAAAACCUGCAGCUUAACUGUGGGCUUGCGGUCGAUACGGGCAUCACUGGAGUUCGGCAGGGGAGACUGGAAUUCCUGGUGUAGCGGUGAAAUGCGUAGAUAUCUGGAGGAACACCGGUGGCGAAGGCGGCAUCCUGGACCAAUUCUGACGCUGAGGAGCGAAAGCCAGGGGAGCAAACGGG